GUGAGGGCGAUCUGGCUGCGACAUCUGUCACCCCGUUGAUCGCCAGGGUUGAUUCGGCUGAUCUGGCUGGCUAGGUGGUUGUCUCCUUCCUCACCCCCUCCCAAAGCUGCGCGCUCUGUUGAAGAGGACAGCCUUCCCAGAAUAGAGACAGACUAGUGUUCGGUCGAGGGUAUAUGAGUAGCUGCGCUCCCCUGCUAGAGCCUCCAAACAAGCUCUCAAGAUAAAACAGUAUCUUGCACUGAUAUAUGUGUUAAGAUAAGAUAUACAUAUACUUUAUCAUUGU
Molecule: small nuclear RNA, 283 nt
Filed under: Erinaceus europaeus (western European hedgehog)
Lineage: Eukaryota; Metazoa; Chordata; Mammalia; Eulipotyphla; Erinaceidae
Description: 7SK RNA (ENSEEUG00000019902.1)
Rfam family: 7SK RNA
About the family: 7SK was discovered as an abundant small nuclear RNA in the mid-70s but a possible function has only recently been suggested.
Source: RNAcentral